RNAcentral lists this long non-coding RNA (2605 nucleotides) under Malus domestica (apple). RNAcentral describes it as "long non-coding RNA (MDOM_LNC008351)". Lineage: Eukaryota; Viridiplantae; Streptophyta; Magnoliopsida; Rosales; Rosaceae. The record is from RNAcentral.
AAAAAUGUAAGGAACUAACUAAGAAAAGACGAGUGAAUUCGAAGUAAAAAUAUAUAUAAAUAUGAUCCGAUCAAGAGGAUAAAGCACAACAAACAGAUAUAAUAAAUCCCUUACAUGGCCACCACAAAUAACACAACGCACCAAAACCAUCGGUGAAAAUUGCCAUAAUAGAUUAGUGAUAACAAAUUUGAGACGAAGAACACAAAGAGCCAUUAGUGGUGACAAAGUCGAAAUCGAAGAACACAUAGAUGAUCCAUGCAUCUAUUGUGUCCACUAGGAUGAUUCAACUUUUCGAGAAGAGAAAACGACCACAUAUUAAAUCUAAAUGACCAUCAUUAACCCGUUGAUAAAACAAAUAAUACAUUCAUAAAUUUCAUCAAAUCAAAUCAUGUGUAGGGAUUGGACACCAUUACUAGACCAUUCAGUUAUUCAACUUGCACUUAUCCAAUAGGGAAGUGAUUGAUGCUAGGGUGUAGGGAUUGCUUUCAUAAUGUUCAGUGUUUGUAAUGGUUUAAGGUUCCUAUCCUCGAAAUGUAGUGGCGUUACAUUAGCUUUUUAAAGUUUUAGCUUCAAAUAGAAAAGGUGUUCAUUUGAAUCUAAAAAUUUUCCUUUUGGGAAAAAAAAAUUAGAGAAGUGAUCGUUUCAGAAAGAAAAAUGAUUUCGCACAUUUUUUUCCUUUAGCACACUCUUGUUUAUUUCUGCUCAUUGAUUCUUUUUAUUUAGUUAAUCUAAUGUAAAAGGGUUAGACAGAUCAGCUAGCCCAGUCCAGUCCAAACCCAUUUAAAAAAUGCACGACGCUAUUCAUGAAAAUAGGUUAGGCGGGCUGACCUGCACGACAUAUAAUGACAUUGCUUGACGUGUGCUAGAGACGGCAUGACAGAAUCGGAUUUAUCGCGGCAUUUCUAUUGGGUAGCAUUUCGAAAGGAGAAUACAUUAAAUCAAGGGAACUUAUGGGGAUGCAGCUCGGAGUGACACACCCUGACCCAUAAUGUCCACUAGGACUCCGAAUCGAGCUGUGCUGGCAGACACUUGGAAGGUGACAAAGCCAUAAAGUAUAGUGAUGUAGAAAAUGUGAAUAAGUUUAAAUGUAAAAGUGCCUAAAGACAAGAGUGCUAUGUGAGCAGGAAUGAGCCCAUUUCACAUUCAACAUCAGAGCAUAAGUAUAGUAUAGUAGUGUGGGUAAGGAUCAUACCCACAAAACUGAGAUUCGCUAAGAAUCCUCGUCGAUACGAACUUUCAGUAGCUAAAACCUGGAGGGGCGAAAAAUAAAAGGGUGAGUGGGUAAAGACAAAACGUUUGAAAACACAUUUCUCUUUUCUGAACAUAAUAACCCCUCACUGUAAAACCCGUAUAGUUUACAUAAAAUAAUACUACAUUUAUAUAUAAAGCAAUACACAAAGGUAGUGAACCCAAAAUAUGCCAUGUCAUAACAUAUAAAUCAUGUAAGCCAGGUGUAGAAUCAAUGUAAAAUAACAUGCCAGCCGGAGUCACCUAAUGUGACCUGUACGACUGGACUAUAACUCAUCAACCUAGGCUAGCACAGGAGUCGGAGUCACCUGAUGUGACCUGUACGACAGGCUAGGUAUAAAUAUGUACGCUCAAGAGCUACGAUCACGUGAAGAUUGUGCAAUAAAUCAUGGGUCACCUACGAGUCGGAACCACUUAUUGUGGUCUAUACGACAUGCUGGCACCAGACUUAGAUCUAAGGUGAGUGUGCAGUGCAGGAGGUGAAUAAUUAUGUGAAGGCUGUACCCUAAUCCCCGAGCGGGAACACUAAUACGGAGUGCAGCCCUGAUGAGCUCUAAAUAAAUAUAUGCAUACCAAUGCAACACAACCCAUUCAAUCACAUCAUACUCACCUGAAGCUUACCUGAGUCUCCACAGCAUCACACAAUAUAAUUCACAAGUAUAACAGUGCAAUACUCAAAGUGCAACUCAUUACGACAUGGCAUUCAAAGCAUAAAUCAUUUAAGAAAACGUUCCAAAAAAUGAUUUGAAAGACAGUUGUCCGCGAAAAAAAAAAUGGGUUCUCGCCGAAAUUUCUAGGCAACCUUUUCUAACGGCUAACUCGCCGUGGUUUGGUCAAAAAAUGGUAUGGAAGGUCACGAGUUCGCCAACAAUUGUUUGAGUUCAAAAGAUGGCUGAAAAUUGUCUGAAUUAUGCCUAGAAGUCUCAGCCUAAAACCUUGUUUUUCGAACUCGUGUUUCGGGUUCGUUUUCAAUGAAACAAAAAUCACAUCGGAGUUUAUGGUGGUGAGGACAUGCAGAUAAUGGUGGUUUUGAUGUUCAACAAGCCAAAAUUUUGGUGGUGGUGGUUUGUUUCACGGGAAGAAAGGGAGAGCCGAGAGAGAGUGAGAGAACUCAAGAGAAAGAGAUAACGAGUGAGAAAAUGGAGGAGAUAUAGUUGUGAACACGGAAAAUUCCUGAAAACGAAAGAGACAAGAAACGACGUGCACAAACAAAUAUUUGUAUUUGAUAGUUUUGGGUUACAAUCUCUCUCAAAUUUGAUCCUCUGAUUCGAUCUCCGUAAGGUGUUGAUUUAUGGGUGUUUCGUUGAUUCAAGGGGCCGUCGAGGCUUGAUCUUGGAUGAACAGUUGGAAGUUUCUU